Molecule: ribosomal RNA, 376 nt
Filed under: uncultured bacterium
Lineage: Bacteria
Description: bacterial SSU rRNA
Rfam family: Bacterial small subunit ribosomal RNA
Source: RNAcentral
AUACGGAGGGGGCUAGCGUUGUUCGGAAAUACUGGGCGUAAAGCGAACGUAGGCGGCUUGGCAAGUCAGGGGUGAAAUCCCAGUGCUCAACACUGGAACUGCCUUUGAAACUGCCAGGCUUGAAUCCUGGAGAGGCGAGUGGAAUUCCGAGUGUAGAGGUGAAAUUCGUAGAUAUUCGGAAGAACACCAGUGGCGAAGGCGACUCGCUGGACAGGUAUUGACGCUGAGGUUCGAAAGCGUGGGGAGCAAACAGGAUUAGAUACCCUGGUAGUCCACGCCGUAAACGAUGAUAACUAGCUGUCCGGGCACAUGGUGUUUGGGUGGCGCAGCUAACGCAUUAAGUUAUCCGCCUGGGGAGUACGGUCGCAAGAUUAAA